AACGAACGCUGGCGGCAUGCCUAACACAUGCAAGUCGAACGAGACCUUCGGGUCUAGUGGCGCACGGGUGCGUAACGCGUGGGAACCUGCCCUUAGGUUCGGAAUAACUCCCCGAAAGGGGUGCUAAUACCGGAUAAUGUCUUCGGACCAAAGAUUUAUCGCCUUUGGAUGGGCCCGCGUUGGAUUAGCUAGUUGGUAGGGUAAAAGCCUACCAAGGCGACGAUCCAUAGCUGGUCUGAGAGGAUGAUCAGCCACACUGGGACUGAGACACGGCCCAGACUCCUACGGGAGGCAGCAGUGGGGAAUAUUGGAAAAGGGGCGAAAGCCUGACCCAGAAAUGCCGGGUGAGUGAUGAAGGCCUUAGGGUUGUAAAGCUCUUUUACCCGGGAUGAUAAUGACAGUACCGGGAGAAUAAGCCCCGGCUAACUCCGU
Molecule: ribosomal RNA, 432 nt
Filed under: uncultured bacterium
Lineage: Bacteria
Description: partial 16S ribosomal RNA
Rfam family: Bacterial small subunit ribosomal RNA
Source: RNAcentral